Molecule: non-coding RNA, 76 nt
Organism: Strongylocentrotus purpuratus (purple sea urchin)
Lineage: Eukaryota; Metazoa; Echinodermata; Echinoidea; Camarodonta; Strongylocentrotidae
Source: the annotation of a RefSeq genome assembly
GCUUCUGUGGCGCAAUUGGUUAGCGCGUUCGGCUGUUAACCGAAAGGUUGGUGGUUCAAGCCCACCCACAGGAGCG